GUCUAUGGCCAUGCUACCCUGAACAAGCCCAAUCCCAUCUGAUCUCAGAAGCUAAGCAGGGUAGGGCCUGGUUAGUACUUGGAUGGGAGACCACCUAGGAAGACCAGGUGCUGUAGGCA
This 119-nucleotide ribosomal RNA is filed under the name Pteropus alecto (black flying fox). Lineage: Eukaryota; Metazoa; Chordata; Mammalia; Chiroptera; Pteropodidae. The record is from RNAcentral.